CAGAAACCCUUCUUUCACUGUUUCUUUGCUAUUUGCACACACUCUGUGAAUUGUUCCCAAGUUAGGUUUUGAACCUCAUUUGAUUGCUGGAUUUGGACACAGACUCAUAUUGUGGAGUUUGGGAAUAAGCAGUUUGUGUUGUGUUUCUGUGCUGAAGGUACUAGUGCUGUUUCCAUAGCUGUUAGUGGAAGGGAGAUGAGACAGACAGCACCAUGCACCAAGUUCCCUUGGAAUUUUAGUUAUUAGUUACCAAAUUGUUCUGUUAAUUCAAGAGGAGCUGCAAAUUAUGAUGCUGUGAUUUAUCUUUUUUUUUUUUUUCCCCUCCCAUUUUCAACAGUCGAUGCCCUCUGCAUUCAUUGCUUAAAAUGUAAAUGAUGCUGGAAUUCUGAAUUAAAGCUUAUGAGACCUUUCAGAUGUUCUGUAUGCCUCUUGAAAUGCCUCACACACCACUGGCUGCAGUGUUCCCCUGGAAGUUGUAAUCAGCUGCAAAAGGAUGGUAAUAUUUUGAGAUUUCCAGAUGGUUCCAGAGAAAACAAGGAUGUAAACAGAGACAAUUAGUAUGGAAUAUUCUCACAAUGGAGAGAGAAGUUCACCAAAGCAGAGAUGUCUCAGGUGAGAUGGAAGGCCUGUCUCACAGUCAGCUCUCAUGGCUCCCAGUCUCUCGUGCUGUAGGUUAAAUCAAACAUCUUCUCCCAGGUCACCUCAUCAGGUGGCUUAAGGCAGAAAGAGAAAUGAUCAAGACCCAUUUAAUUUUUGCUAAGUUCAAGAUGGAGAACUGUAGGAAAUGUUUCUGCUGUUUGGAGCUUAAUGAGUACAUUUAACACAGAAAGGUUGAAUAUUUAGAAACAUUCUCUUCUUCAUGAAGCGGAGAAGCACAGUCUGCAAGAAACUGGGAAGUAACCUUGGCCAUAAGGGGCUCCUAAGAUGCUGCAAGCCCUCAUGCAGCAUUCAAGGCAAACGCUAAUUGCAAAAGAACAAGAAGAUUAAGAUGUAGUCGCAAGUUGCCAGCUGAAUAGGAAAAACCUUACCCUUAUUUAUGAACAGUGUUUGUCUUGUGUGUGGAGUGAUGAUGAAAGAUGGAAGAAAAGUUUUUAAACUGCAGAGGAAGGAAAAGAAGUUGAUUUGUUUUUUAAAUAUUGCCAUCACAAAUUAAGACUUUAUUAUUCUUAUUUUAUUUAUUUAUUUAUUGUUUCUGGAGGCCUUACUGUUAUGAAACUGAGAAGCACGCAGUUUGUCUUCAGCAUUGUGGUAACUCCACGAAGUGUUCAGAGGCAGGGGAAGAAGAAACUGUGGCUAUGCUAUUGCCCUUAGAUCUGUUAUUGGUAUUAAAGCAACACAAAAAGAAUACGGCCCGUUUGAUUCUUAGCACUGCAUUCUUUGAUGAAGAGAAAUAGUGCUCAGGGCAAAGAUGAAUAUCAAUUAAGUUAUGUUGCUUUGGUUACUAGUAACGAUGUCAGAAAAUCUCAGGACUGCAGCAUUUAAGAUGAGCGUUAACUUUUUAGCUUACCUCAACACAUCCCAGCGAGAAAUGUUCACUUCAUAGUACUUUGGAAACGACAUGGGUUGGAGUUUAGAAAACAAGAUUACAGCCGGGUCUUUCAAUGGGACUCUUGUAAGGCUGUCCACAAGGCAAAUACUGGAAUAGGCUCCUCAGAGAGGUGGCUGAAUCGCCAUCCCUGGAUGUGUUUAAGAGCCGUUUGGAUGUGGUGCUCAGGGAUAUGAUUUAGUGUAGGGUUGUUAGAGUUAGGGUACUGGUUAGGCUGCGGUUUGACUUGAUGAUCUUCAAGGUCUUUUCCAACCUGGGUAAUUCUAUGAUUCUGUGAUUCAUUUCAGCAGGCUCCUACGGGCUCUGAAGCAGAACCCAUGUUCAGUGGUCUGUGGUUGCUAGCUUGAUCAUUUGUUUCUAGGUUGUUCUGCCAGGAUAAAUCAGUGAACAGUAUCUUUUACUCUGCUACUACGUCUCUUUGCAGCCCCCCAAGGUCUGCUUUAUUUGUAGUUUUUCAAGCAAUGCUUGACUAAAGGACAUGGGUGACACUGUCAUGAUUCCUUGGUGUAAGCAUCCCUAGUGUUGUAGAGUUAAGGUAGUAUUGUCAGGUUGUGGUUGGGCGUGAUGAUCUUUAAGGUCUUUUCCAACCUGAGCAAUUCUGUGAUUCUCUGAAGAUGCUGAAAAGAAUAUUCCAUCUAAAAACUGUGAGUUUGGAUCAAAAGUAAUCUGCACUCAAGUCUGCUGAUGUCAUCCAUUUUUAGCCAGACUCCCUUAAGGGCUUUCCUGUGAGGUUCAGUUUAUUGUAUUGUUUUUCCCCGGUUGGUGCUGUCUAGUGCAGCAGGAACUGAAGCCAUUGGAAGUUUGAUCAUUGACUUUCAUGAAGGGAGCCUCAGGAUCUGAGUGUUUGAGCUGGGGAGGGUACUUAGCAGUACUCAAGCAAUGAUCUGACCGAGUCAACGGGAGUUUUGCCACCUUCUGAAUAUGCAGGACGGCACUCUGCCUUUACACUGCCCACCCUCGUGUUACAGGGUGACAGCAAAACAAAUUGAAACCAAUGUGUUGUGCUCCCUUCAACCUGCUUGGAAAGAAAAUGCUAUUCAGAAUUAGAACUUUGGGGGAAAAAUCAGCUCUUAAAUAUUGAAAAACCCUCUAAAAAACAGAGAAUCUGAAACACAGUUAUUCCAGAGGUUCAACACUCUGUGAAAGAUAUGAAAUACGACAGCUCCCAGCGGUACUCCUGCUCCACCACGGGCAGCCAGGGGCGGGCUCUGGGCUGGGCAGCCAGGCUCUCCUAGAGCCGAGGGUUGCUCUCGCCCUGCGAGAAGAAAGGUACAGCUAUAACAGCUAUUAAGGGGCGAUCUUUACAGCUGUUCGGCUGGAGGAAGUUUCUUGGCUGUAAACUGUCAUGCACCGCAGCUCGCGGUAAAAAGGCUGUGGGAGCGGGGAGUUUUCUGUCCUGAGAGCAACCAGAGUGCAAUUAAGAGCAGAAAGGAGGAGAAGGAAAUAAAAUAACAGCAUCGGGAAUGCA
Molecule: long non-coding RNA, 3014 nt
Filed under: Coturnix japonica (Japanese quail)
Lineage: Eukaryota; Metazoa; Chordata; Aves; Galliformes; Phasianidae
Description: lncRNA (ENSCJPG00005004049.1)
Source: RNAcentral